RNAcentral lists this ribosomal RNA (499 nucleotides) under uncultured Glomeromycotina. RNAcentral's name for it is "partial small subunit ribosomal RNA". It matches the Rfam family "Eukaryotic small subunit ribosomal RNA", at positions 591 to 1091 of the family's 1831-position model. The record is from RNAcentral. Lineage: Eukaryota; Fungi; Glomeromycota.
CCAAUAGCGUAUAUUAAAGUUGUUGCAGUUAAAAAGCUCGUAGUUGAAUUUCGGGGUCAGUAGGUCGGUCGUGCCACUGGUAUGAACUGGUUUUACUGAUUCCUCCCUCUUGAAGAACUGUAAUGCCAUUAAUUUGGUGUUGCAGGGAAUCAGGACUGUUACUUUGAAAAAAUUAGAGUGUUUAAAGCAGGCUUUAGCUUGAAUACAUUAGCAUGGAAUAAUGAAAUAGGACGUUUGAUCCUAUUUUGUUGGUUUCUAGGAUUGACGUAAUGAUUAAUAGGGAUAGUUGGGGGCAUUAGUAUUCAAUUGUCAGAGGUGAAAUUCUUGGAUUUAUUGAAGACUAACUACUGCGAAAGCAUUUGCCAAGGAUGUUUUCAUUAAUCAAGAACGAAAGUUAGGGGAUCGAAGACGACCAGAUACCGUCGUAGUCUUAACCAUAAACUAUGCCGACUAGGGAUCGGAUGAUGUUAAUUUUUUAAUGACUCAUUCGGCGCCUUAC